ACAGAGGGCGCGAGCGUUGUCCGGAAUCACUGGGCGUAAAGGGCGCGUAGGUGGCCACGAUAAGGCCGCGGUGAAAGUCUGGGGCUCAACCCCAGAUCGGCCGCGGCGACUGUCGGGCUGGGGCACUGUAGAGGCAGAUGGAAUUCCGGGUGGAGUGGUGAAAUGCGUAGAGAUCCGGAGGAACACCAGAGGCGAAAGCGGCGCUCUGGGCUGCACCUGACGCUGAACUGCGAAAGCCAGGGGAGCGAACGGGA
RNAcentral lists this ribosomal RNA (254 nucleotides) under uncultured prokaryote. RNAcentral describes it as "partial 16S ribosomal RNA". It matches the Rfam family "Bacterial small subunit ribosomal RNA", at positions 525 to 777 of the family's 1533-position model. The record is from RNAcentral.